This 770-nucleotide ribosomal RNA is filed under the name uncultured bacterium. Its description in RNAcentral is "bacterial SSU rRNA". It matches the Rfam family "Bacterial small subunit ribosomal RNA", at positions 8 to 796 of the family's 1533-position model. The record is from RNAcentral.
AGAGUUUGAUCAUGGCUCAGAAUCAACGCUGGCGGCGUGCCUAACACAUGCAAGUCGAACGAGAAAGUGGAGCAACCAUGAGUAAAGUGGCGACCGGGUGAGUAACACGUGACUAACCUACCCUACAGUGGGGGAUAACCUCGGGAAACCGGGGCUAAUACCGCAUAACAUUACGAGGUGCAACUCUUUGUAAUCAAAGGAGCAAUUCGCUGAAGGAGGGGGUCGCGGCUGAUUAGCUAGUUGGUGAGGUAACGGCCCACCAAGGCAAUGAUCAGUAGCCGGCCUGAGAGGGCGCACGGCCACACUGGAACUGAAACACGGUCCAGACUCCUACGGGAGGCAGCAGUGGGGAAUUUUGCGCAAUGGGGGAAACCCUGACGCAGCAACGCCGCGUGGAGGAUGAAGUCCCUUGGGAUGUAAACUCCUUUCGAUCGGGACGAUUAUGACGGUACCGGAAGAAGAAGCACCGGCUAACUCUGUGCCAGCAGCCGCGGUAAUACAGAGGGUGCAAGCGUUGUUCGGAAUUAUUGGGCGUAAAGGGCGCGUAGGCGGUGCGGUAAGUGUGUUGUGAAAUCUUCGGGCUCAACUCGAAGCCUGCAACGCAGACUGCCGUGCUCGAGUAUGGGAGAGGUGAGUGGAAUUCCCGGUGUAGCGGUGAAAUGCGUAGAUAUCGUCAAGAACACCGAUAGCGAAGGCAGCUUACUAGACUGUAACUGACGCUGAGGCACGAAAGUGUGGGGAUCAAACAGGAUUAGAUACCCUAGUAGUCC